UAAGGAAUAUUGGUCAAUGGACGAAAGUCUGAACCAGCCAUGCCGCGUGGAGGAUGAAGGUCCUCUGGAUUGUAAACUUCUUUUAUUUGGGACGAAAAAAGGGCAUUCUUGCUCACUUGACGGUACCAGAUGAAUAAGCACCGGCUAACUCCGUGCCAGCAGCCGCGGUAAUACGGAGGGUGCAAGCGUUAUCCGGAUUCACUGGGUUUAAAGGGUGCGUAGGCGGGCAUUUAAGUCAGCGGUGAAAUCCCCGAGCUUAACUUGGGAACUGCCGUUGAUACUAUUUGUCUUGAAUGUCGUGGAGGUCAGCGGAAUAUGUCAUGUAGCGGUGAAAUGCUUAGAUAUGACAUAGAACACCUAUUGCGAAGGCAGCUGACUACGCGAUUAUUGACGCUGAGGCACGAAAGCGUGGGGAUCAAACAGG
Molecule: ribosomal RNA, 424 nt
Filed under: uncultured bacterium
Lineage: Bacteria
Also listed under: 1 other name
Description: bacterial SSU rRNA
Rfam family: Bacterial small subunit ribosomal RNA
Source: RNAcentral